UACGGAGGGUGCAAGCGUUGCUCGGAAUUACUGGGCGUAAAGGGCGCGUAGGCGGCUCGGUAAGUAGGGGGUGAAAUCCUGCGGCUCAACCGCAGGGCUGCCUUCUAAACUGUCGAGCUCGAGCACGGUAGAGGCAGAUGGAAUUCCCGGUGUAGCGGUGGAAUGCGUAGAGAUCGGGAAGAACAUCAGUGGCGAAGGCGGUCUGCUGGGCCGUUGCUGACGCUGAGGCGCGACAGCGUGGGGAGCAAACAGG
This 253-nucleotide ribosomal RNA is filed under the name uncultured bacterium. RNAcentral's name for it is "partial 16S ribosomal RNA". It matches the Rfam family "Bacterial small subunit ribosomal RNA", at positions 524 to 776 of the family's 1533-position model. The record is from RNAcentral.